GCUGCUGUCAGUGGUGAUGGAUGGAUGUGUGUGCUGUAGAGUUGUGGCAUCUUAAUUGUUUACAUAACAUGCUAUUUUCUCUCUCAAAAGACUCUGUCUGGGAAGGAUGAAGGUGUGCAUAUUUUAUACUCCUCUUUUGCAUGCAUUUUAAAGGCAUUGAUAAAAGGAGUCCUGGAACUAGUACAGUCUGCUAUCUUCUGUCGGCCCUUGUUUCUUGGGCCCUGAGUGACAGCUCUUCAGAAGUGAUAAUUGGUGUACUGUAUCUUUAAAAGGUUAAAACCUCUUUCAAAAAAAAAAAAAAAGGCCUGGACUCAUAGUGGAAAAGACAAGCGGGGCUUUGGUUGGCUCUGGAUUCAGAAAACAGCUGCUGAUUAGAUUCUGCGUCUGCAGGCUGAAUUCAUUCCGUGUUUUUCAGCAGCAGGAAUUCGAGAGGGAUGCUUCUGUUUGGGUUUCUGAUCGUGAUUUAUAUUUAUUCAGAGGAAUAACAGAGGAUGGAUUUGUUCCCGGCCGGAGCAUGCUCACAACCAACAGGCUCUCCCAUGAUCCAACUGCCCAGUUUGGUGCUUUAAUGUACAUAUCUGUUCACCGUUCAUGUGUGUGGAGUUAGACAGAUAUGCCUAUGGGCAUCCAGUUGUGUGUGUGUGUGUGUAUGUGUAUAUGUGUGUGUGAGGGGGUGGGUGGGUGUAGGUGCACGCGCAUAGAGGAUUAUUAUUUUUUUUAAAAGCAGAUUCCUUAAAUGAGAUUUUUUUUUUACCCCUCACUUGAAACAGGUGUUAAUGAAAAAAUGCACACAAUCCUGACAGAUGGGACUGGUUCAUGAAGGAGGGGACGGCCAGCUCAGUGUUUCAGAGACCACAGGACCAGCUUCCCAUCCAGAGCAAAGAUUGGAAACCAGUUCCAGGGAGAUUUCUAUGGUACAUAACAGAAAGUGUAUUGGCCUUAGGUCCAGGACUAUCGGCUUCAAAUCAACACUUCUCAGUGUUGGAAUGAUGGGCAAGUCAUUUAAACUCUUCUGCAUCAUCCCCUUCCCAACCCCCCCCCAAUUCCUUUAUUUUUGUAAUGAGGAUAAUCAUACUUGCCACACCUACUUUGCAGGGUUGUCAUGAGGAAGGUGCUUUGUAAAUACUAUCUGGAGAACUUUUUAGAACAAUUAUCUAAAGCAGGGGUGGGAAACCUGGGGCCUUGAGGCCACGUGUGGCCUUCUAGAUACUUAAGUGCAGCCUUUUGACUGAAUCCAAAUUUUAUAGAACAAAUCCUUUUAGUAAAAGGAUUAGAUUCUAAAGCAAUGCUUGUCUACCAGGCUCUGGGUAGCUAUGGUUUUUCCAUGCCCUCUUUCUGAUAUUGAGAGAGUGUCACUAAACAAAUAUUUGUUGGAGACUCCCUUAUAAGAGAAAAUUUAAUACAGAAAAUUGAAAGUCCUACAUUUGGGUAAAAAAAAAAUUCAUCAGUAUAGCAUGGGGAAGAAAGGGCUGGACAUUCUGGGUGAAGAAGAUCAGGGGAUUUUAGUGGAAUGUAAGCUCAAUAUGAAAUAUGAAAGCUUUUGUUUCUUGUUUUCAUUGAAGAUUGCCUUGGUUUAUCCACAGACCAGUCUCUAAAGGUCUUAUAGAGAAAAAGAAGCAGGGACAGAUAGCUCAAUAAGUAGAUCAAUCAACAGAUAGAUUCUCCUGUUAUCUUAGUUGCCUUAUUUUGAUAAAAAUGCCAUCCAUGAUUUUCCACUCAUGGUAGAUGAUUCCUCUCAUUGGAAGUCUUCAGACAAGCUGGGUGACAACUUUUGGGUAUGUUGUAGAGAAGGGGUGUCAAACACAAAUAGAAUCAGGGGCUACUGGUGUACAUAUGUUCACUUAGAAAACCACAUAUUAACAUUUUCUGUAUUUUGCUGUAUUUUUAUUUAUUUCAUUAAAUAUCUGCCGAUUACAUUUUAAUCUAGUUUGGGCCUCACCAUGCAUUUGAUACCCCUGUUGUAGAGGAGGGGAUUUCGGCUCAGGUGCAAGUUAUACAAGAGGUGUUGUGAUGGAGGGGAAAGAGCACUGAAUUUGGAAUCUCUGUUUUUGGGGAGGCUGAGGCGGGUGGAUUGCUUGAGUUCAGGAGUUCUGAGCUGCCAUGGGC
Long non-coding RNA from Phascolarctos cinereus (koala), 2106 nucleotides. The record is from Ensembl. NCBI's taxonomy places the organism in Eukaryota, Metazoa, Chordata, Mammalia, Diprotodontia, Phascolarctidae.